AUAUAACAUUAAUCUAUUAUUCCGUUUCCGAAGAGUCGAGGGUCUGUGGCAGCCGCUCUGUUCUUCAAAGGUCGGAGUCACCGAUCAUGCUUUGCUUGAUCUGCUGCUUCAGCUGCUUGCAGAGACAUGGGCUUUUCUUCGUUCAUUAUCUGGGGUUUUUUGGGAGGAAAGAUUGAUUGAAUUUUGCAAAGCAAGAGAGAACUCACUAAGAAUCCCAAAUACUCGCUAUUCUUUUCUUAUGCUGCUGAUAUUGUUGUAGUUUUUGGAUGAUAUGAAGUAUGCUGAUCAUGCCCAGGUACCAAUUUUGGUUUUCGUGGACGGUUCAGCUUAGGAUUUCAUUGCUGAACAUAAUGAUUUCAAUUAAGCUACAUUGGCCCAACAUGGAUUUUCUGUGAGGUAUGUCUCUUGAGACUAUUUACUUCAAAUUGUUCUAUAAUGUGCCGCAAACAUAACUGCAGAUGUAUCAUUCAUCUUUCUACAAAGCAGUAUCGAAGAAAACAUUCUUCAUCCGAUUUUGAUACAUGAAUCCUUUCAGAAUAAAAGACUACAAACUUCGUAUGGAUUUCGAUA
Molecule: non-coding RNA, 570 nt
Organism: Musa acuminata subsp. malaccensis (wild Malaysian banana)
Lineage: Eukaryota; Viridiplantae; Streptophyta; Magnoliopsida; Zingiberales; Musaceae
Source: RefSeq, a predicted model, not a curated record